RNAcentral lists this ribosomal RNA (708 nucleotides) under Aspergillus niger. RNAcentral describes it as "eukaryotic LSU rRNA". The stretch from base 419 to 708 matches the Rfam family "Eukaryotic large subunit ribosomal RNA", at positions 1 to 287 of the family's 3401-position model. Lineage: Eukaryota; Fungi; Ascomycota; Eurotiomycetes; Eurotiales; Aspergillaceae. The record is from RNAcentral.
CCUCUGCCCCCCGGGCCCGUGCCCGCCGGAGACCCCAACACGAACACUGUCUGAAAGCGUGCAGUCUGAGUUGAUUGAAUGCAAUCAGUUAAAACUUUCAACAAUGGAUCUCUUGGUUCCGGCAUCGAUGAAGAACGCAGCGAAAUGCGAUAACUAAUGUGAAUUGCAGAAUUCAGUGAAUCAUCGAGUCUUUGAACGCACAUUGCGCCCCCUGGUAUUCCGGGGGGCAUGCCUGUCCGAGCGUCAUUGCUGCCCUCAAGCCCGGCUUGUGUGUUGGGUCGCCGUCCCCCUCUCCGGGGGGACGGGCCCGAAAGGCAGCGGCGGCACCGCGUCCGAUCCUCGAGCGUAUGGGGCUUUGUCACAUGCUCUGUAGGAUUGGCCGGCGCCUGCCGACGUUUUCCAACCAUUCUUUCCAGGUUGACCUCGGAUCAGGUAGGGAUACCCGCUGAACUUAAGCAUAUCAAUAAGCGGAGGAAAAGAAACCAACCGGGAUUGCCUCAGUAACGGCGAGUGAAGCGGCAAGAGCUCAAAUUUGAAAGCUGGCUCCUUCGGAGUCCGCAUUGUAAUUUGCAGAGGAUGCUUUGGGUGCGGCCCCCGUCUAAGUGCCCUGGAACGGGCCGUCAGAGAGGGUGAGAAUCCCGUCUUGGGCGGGGUGUCCGUGCCCGUGUAAAGCUCCUUCGACGAGUCGAGUUGUUUGGGAAUGCAGCU